GAUGGAAGAACGCAGCGAAAUGCGAUACUUGGUGUGAAUUGCAGAAUCCCGUGAACCAUCGAGUCUUUGAACGCAAGUUGCGCCCGAAGCCAUCAGGUUGAGGGCACGUCUGCCUGGGCGUCACAUAUCGUUGCCCAAUGCCUAUUGCAGUGCAAUAGGAAUUUCUAGGGCGAAUGAUGGCUUCCCGUGAGCGUUGUUGCCUCGCGGUUGGUUGAAAAUCGAGUCCUUGGUAGGGUGUGCCAUGGUAGAUGGUGGUCGAGUUAGAACGAUACCGAUCAUGUGCAUGCUCCCCAAAAUAUGGCCUCUAUGACCCACACGCGUCUUUUGACGCUCAUGACGAGACCUCAGGUCAGGCGGGGCUACCCGCUGAAUUUAAGCAUAUCAAUAAGCGGAGGA
RNAcentral lists this unclassified non-coding RNA (396 nucleotides) under soil metagenome. Its description in RNAcentral is "partial contains 5.8S ribosomal RNA, internal transcribed spacer 2, and large subunit ribosomal RNA". The stretch from base 5 to 123 matches the Rfam family "5.8S ribosomal RNA", at positions 38 to 154 of the family's 154-position model. The record is from RNAcentral.